UACUAACAAAACUAUUUAGUGCUUCUAAGCAAUAUUUUGUUGGUUAUAGCUUCUUUUGGGAGAAGAUGGGUAUAAUUGUUGUCUAAACACUACUUAUCCAUCUCUAACUCUAUAAUUAGUCCAAUGCAUUGGAUUGUGAAACAUUUUGACUAUAGAAACACUAACAGAUCUAUUGACUGCUUUUAAGCAAGUUUUUUUGGUUUUAGCUUCUUUUGGGAUAAAAUGGGUAUAAGUAUUGUCUAAACACUUCUAAUCCAUCUCUAACUCUUAUAAUUAGUCGAAUGCAUUGGAUUGUGAUACAUUUGGACCAUAUAAACACUAACAAAGCUAUUUAGUGCUUCUAAGCAAUAUUUUGUUGGUUAUAGCUUCUUUUGAGAGUAAAUGGGUAUAAGUGUUCUUUAAACACUCCUAAUCCAUCUCUUACUCUUAUAAUUAGUCAAAUGCAUUGGAUUAUGACACAUUUUCACCAUAGAAACAGUAACAAAUCUAUUGACCGCUUCUAAGCAAGUUUUCUUGGUUUUAGCCUCUUUUGGGAGAAAAUGGUUAUAAGUGUUGUCUAAACACUUCUUGUUCAUCCCUAACUCUUAUAAUUAUUCAAUUGCAUUGGAUUGUGACACAUUUUGACUAUAGAAACACUAACAAAUCUAUUGACUGCUUUUGAGAAAGUUUUGUUGGUUUUAGCCUCUUUUGGGAGAAAAUGGGUAUAAGUGUUGUCUAAACACUUCUUAUCCAUCUCUAACUCUUAUAAUUAGUCAAUGGUAUUGGAUUGUGACACAUUAUGACCAUAUAAACACUAACAAAUCUAUUAACUGCUUCUAAGCAAGUUUUGUUGGUUUUAGCCUCUUUUAGGAGAAAAUGGGUAUAAGUGGUGUCUAAACACUCCUAAUCCAUCUCUAACUCUUAUAAUUAUUCGAAUGCAUUUGACUGUGAUACCUUUUGAACAUAAAUACACAAACAAGGCUAUUUACUGCGUCUAAGCAAAUGUUUGUUGGUUUAGCCUCUUUUGGGAUAAAAUAGGUACAAGUGUUGUCUAAACACUUCUAAUCCAUCUCUAACUCUUAUAAUUAGUCGAAUGCAUUGGAUUGUGAUACCUUUUGACCAUAAAAACACUAACAAAUCUAUUGAGUUGUUCUAAGCAAGUUUUGUUGGUUUUAGCCUCUUUUGGGAGGAAAUGGGUAUAAGUAUUGUCUAAACACUUAUUAUCCAUCUCUAACUCUUAUAAUUAGUCAACUGCAUUGGAUUGUGACACAUUUUGACCAUAGAAACACUAACAAAUCUAUUGACUGCUUCUAAGCAAGUUUUGUUGGUUUUAGCCUCUUUUGGGCGAAAAUGGGUAUACGUGUUGGCUAAAGACUCCUAAUCUAUCUCU
RNAcentral lists this small RNA (1369 nucleotides) under Arabidopsis thaliana (thale cress). RNAcentral's name for it is "ATSL037040". Lineage: Eukaryota; Viridiplantae; Streptophyta; Magnoliopsida; Brassicales; Brassicaceae. The record is from RNAcentral.